GAUCCUGGCUCAGGAUGAACGCUAGCUACAGGCUUAACACAUGCAAGUCGAGGGGCAGCAUUUCAGUUUGCUUGCAAACUGGAGAUGGCGACCGGCGCACGGGUGAGUAACACGUAUCCAACCUGCCGAUAACUCGGGGAUAGCCUUUCGAAAGAAAGAUUAAUACCCGAUGGUAUAAUUAGACCGCAUGGUCUUGUUAUUAAAGAAUUUCGGUUAUCGAUGGGGAUGCGUUCCAUUAGGCAGUUGG
This 247-nucleotide ribosomal RNA is filed under the name uncultured bacterium. Its description in RNAcentral is "partial 16S ribosomal RNA". It matches the Rfam family "Bacterial small subunit ribosomal RNA", at positions 15 to 252 of the family's 1533-position model. The record is from RNAcentral.